This 67-nucleotide transfer RNA is filed under the name Agrotis segetum (turnip moth). RNAcentral describes it as "tRNA-Phe". The record is from RNAcentral. Lineage: Eukaryota; Metazoa; Arthropoda; Insecta; Lepidoptera; Noctuidae.
AUUUAAAUAGCUUAUAAUUAAGAGCAUAAUAUUGAAGAUAUUAAGGAGAUAAACUUAUCUUUAAAUA